RNAcentral lists this ribosomal RNA (252 nucleotides) under Prevotella brunnea. RNAcentral's name for it is "partial 16S ribosomal RNA". It matches the Rfam family "Bacterial small subunit ribosomal RNA", at positions 1113 to 1364 of the family's 1533-position model. Lineage: Bacteria; Pseudomonadati; Bacteroidota; Bacteroidia; Bacteroidales; Prevotellaceae. The record is from RNAcentral.
AGUUGCCAUCGGGUCAUGCCGGGCACUCUGUGGAUACUGCCACCGUAAGGUGUGAGGAAGGUGGGGAUGACGUCAAAUCAGCACGGCCCUUACGUCCGGGGCUACACACGUGUUACAAUGGCCGGUACAGCUUGUUGGUGUAAUGCAAAUUGCAUCUAAUCUUGAAAUCCGGUCUCAGUUCGGACUGGGGUCUGCAACCCGACCCCACGAAGCUGGAUUCGCUAGUAAUCGCGCAUCAGCCAUGGCGCGGUG